UACAGAGGUCUCAAGCGUUGUUCGGAUUCAUUGGGCGUAAAGGGUGCGUAGGUGGCGCGGUAAGUCGGGUGUGAAAUUUCGGAGCUUAACUCCGAAACUGCAUUCGAUACUGCCGUGCUUGAGGACUGGAGAGGAGACUGGAAUUUACGGUGUAGCAGUGAAAUGCGUAGAGAUCGUAAGGAAGACCAGUGGCGAAGGCGGGUCUCUGGGCCAUUACUGACGCUGAGGAGCGAAAGCGUGGGGAGCGAACAGG
Molecule: ribosomal RNA, 253 nt
Filed under: uncultured bacterium
Lineage: Bacteria
Description: partial 16S ribosomal RNA
Rfam family: Bacterial small subunit ribosomal RNA
Source: RNAcentral